ACCCUACUCCUCCCUAAGACU
This 21-nucleotide transfer RNA is filed under the name Orcinus orca (killer whale). RNAcentral's name for it is "partial tRNA-Thr". Lineage: Eukaryota; Metazoa; Chordata; Mammalia; Artiodactyla; Delphinidae. The record is from RNAcentral.